Molecule: unclassified non-coding RNA, 336 nt
Filed under: soil metagenome
Description: partial contains 5.8S ribosomal RNA, internal transcribed spacer 2, and large subunit ribosomal RNA
Rfam family: 5.8S ribosomal RNA (bases 1-120)
Source: RNAcentral
GAUGAAUAACGUAGCGAAAUGCGAUAAGUAGUGUGAAUUGCAGAAUUCAGUGAAUCAUCGAAUCUUUGAACGCACAUUGCGCCCCUUGGUAUUCCAUGGGGCAUGCCUGUUCGAGCGUCAUUUGUACCUUCAAGCUUUGCUUGGUGUUGGGUGUUUGUCUCGCCUUUGCGUGUAGACUCGCCUUAAAAUAAUUGGCAGCCGGCGUAUUGAUUUCGGAGCGCAGUACAUCUCGCGCUUUGCACUCAUAACGACAGCGUCCAAAAGUACAUUUUACACUCUUGACCUCGGAUCAGGUAGGGAUACCCGCUGAACUUAAGCAUAUCAAUAAGCGGAGGA